UAAGUUAUACUGCAAAGAAAUUGUAUUUAAUUUUUAAUAUUUUACCUUUUGCAUAAUGGUUUAAUAAUAUAAUAUAUAAAUUUUAUAUCCCGAAAUUAGAAGAUCUAAUAUUAUUAAUUUUUUAGAACUAAUUGUAUAAUGUUUCAAAAUUAUAUUAAUAAAUAAUAUUAGGGGUGAAAGGCUUAGCAAUUCUAAUGAUAUCUGGAAUAACUUUAAAUGUAUUUAGUACAGAAUAAAAUUUGAGUAGAAAAAUGUUAAGAUUUUUUUAUUUAUAGAAUAAGAUAUUGAAAUAUUUAUAUGAAAUAAACUUCCAAUAUUUAUAUUAAUAUAUAAUUUAUUAUUUUAUACAUCUAAUUAAUAAAGUUAUAUCACAUUUAAACUAAAAUUUUAAUUUAACUAUGUUAAAAUUAGUAUAAUAAUUUUAUUUAAUUAAGGAACUCGGCUAAUCAUUAUUUACCUGUUUAUCAAGAACCUGCCCACUGAUAUUAAAUUAAACGGCCGCAGUACCUUGACUGUGCUAAGGUAGCAUAAUAAAUUGACUUUUAAUUGGAGCCUUGAAUGAAUGGAACCAUAAAUAAUCUCUGUCUCAAUUAAACACUUACAAAUUACUUAAAAGGUGAAAAUUCCUUUAAUAUAUAAAAUAGACGAGAAGACCCUAGGAGUUUUAAUUUUUGUUGGGGCGACAAUAUAGCAUAUAACCUAUAUAGUAAAUAAUUUAUAAAACGAAUAAAUUUUAAUACUAAAUAAGCUACCCUAGGGAUAACAGCAUAAUUUAACUUAAGUUUGUGACCUCGAUGUUGGACUAGGAACUUUUAAUAUUAACAAUAUUAAUUGAUAGUUCUGUUCGA
Molecule: ribosomal RNA, 848 nt
Filed under: Fastosarion griseolus
Lineage: Eukaryota; Metazoa; Mollusca; Gastropoda; Stylommatophora; Helicarionidae
Description: partial 16S large subunit ribosomal RNA
Source: RNAcentral